CCUUGACAUCCAGAGAACUUAGCAGAGAUGCUUGGUGCCUUCGGGAACUCUGAGACAGGUGCUGCAUGGCUGUCGUCAGCUCGUGUUGUGAAAUGUUGGGUUAAGUCCGCAACGAGCGCAACCCUUAUCCUUUGUUGCCAGCGGUUCGGCCGGGAACUCAAAGGAGACUGCCGGUGAUAAACCGGAGGAAGGUGGGGAUGACGUCAAGUCAUCAUGGCCCUUACGGCCAGGGCUACACACGUGCUACAAUGGCGCAUACAAAGAGAAGCGACCUCGCGAGAGCAAGCGGACCUCAUAAAGUGCGUCGUAGUCCGGAUUGGAGUCUGCAACUCGACUCCAUGAAGUCGGAAUCGCUAGUAAUCGUAGAUCAGAAUGCUACGGUGAAUACGUUCCCGGGCCUUGUACACACCGCCCGUCACACCAUGGGAGUGGGUUGCAAAAGAAGUAGGUAGCUUAACCUUCGGGAGGGCGCUUACCACUUUGUGAUUCAUGACUGGGGUGAAGUCGUAACAAGGUAGGCGUACGUGU
RNAcentral lists this ribosomal RNA (528 nucleotides) under uncultured bacterium. Its description in RNAcentral is "bacterial SSU rRNA". It matches the Rfam family "Bacterial small subunit ribosomal RNA", at positions 979 to 1509 of the family's 1533-position model. The record is from RNAcentral.